ACUCCUACGGGAGGCAGCAGUGGGGAAUAUUGCACAAUGGGCGCAAGCCUGAUGCAGCCAUGCCGCGUGUGUGAAGAAGGCCUUCGGUUGUAAAUGCANNCUUUCAUGUUGUGAGGAAGGUGGUGUCGUUAAUAGCGGCAUCAUUUGACGUUAGCAACAGAAGAAGCACCGGCUAACUCCGUGCCAGCAGCCGCGGUAAUACGGAGGGUGCGAGCGUUAAUCGGAAUUACUGGGCGUAAAGCGCAUGCAGGUGGUUUGUUAAGUCAGAUGUGAAAGCCCGGGGCUCAACCUCGGAACUGCAUUUGAAACUGGCAGACUAGAGUACUGUAGA
Molecule: ribosomal RNA, 331 nt
Filed under: uncultured bacterium
Lineage: Bacteria
Description: bacterial SSU rRNA
Rfam family: Bacterial small subunit ribosomal RNA
Source: RNAcentral